Molecule: ribosomal RNA, 1216 nt
Filed under: uncultured Rhizaria
Lineage: Eukaryota
Description: SSU rRNA
Rfam family: Eukaryotic small subunit ribosomal RNA
Source: RNAcentral
CGGUAAUUCCAGCUCCAAUAGCGUAUACUAAAGUUGUUGCAGUUAAAAAGCUCGUAGUUGGAUUUCUGCGGGGACGGAGCGGCCGGACGCAACUUGCGUCUCGAGCUAGCGCUUUCCCCGCAUCCUGCCGCGAACCGUGCUACCAUUAGCUUGGGGCGCUGGGGAUCGGCUCGAUUACUUUGAGAAAAAUAGAGUGUUCAAAGCAGGCCACACGCCUUGAAUAAGUUAGCAUGGAAUAAUGACUAAGGACUUUGGUUCUUUUCGUUGGUGUUCGGGACUGAAGUAAUGAUUGAUAGGGACAGUUGGGGCGGUCUGUAUUCCAAAGCGAGAGGUGAAAUUCUUAGACCUUCGGAAGACAAACAGCUGCGAAAGCGUUCCGCAAGGAUGUUCCCUUUGAUCAAGAACGAAAGUUGGGGGAUCGAAGACGAUCAGAUACCGUCGUAGUCUCAACUAUAAACUAUACCAGCUAGGGAUCGGCCAACGUUUAAUUAUUCGACUUGGUCGGCACCUUAUGAGAAAUCAAAGCAUCUGGGUUCCGGGGGGAGUAUGGUCGCAAGGCUGAAACUUAAAGGAAUUGACGGAAGGGCACCACCAGGCGUGGAGCCUGUGGCUUAAUUUGACUCAACACGGGAAAACUUACCAGGUCCAGACAUAGGAAGGAUUGACAGAUUGAUAGCUCUUUCUUGAUUCUGUGGGUGGUGGUGCAUGGCCGUUUUUAGUCGGUGAAGUGAUUUGUCUGCUUAAUUGCGUUAACGGACGAGACCCCAGCCUGCUAAAUAGCGCGGCCGAGCUUUGCUCGGUGCGAGCUUCUUAGAGGGACCAUGAUGCGCGAUAGCACAAGGAAGUUUGGGGCAACAACAGGUCUGUGAUGCCCUUAGAUGUUCUGGGCCGCACACGGGCUACACUGGCGCCUGCAACGAGCAUAUCAGCUGGCCCGAGAGGGUCUUGGCUGAUCUUUGGAACCGGCGCCGUGCUUGGGAUUGACCAUUGCAAUUGUUGGUCAUGCAACGAGGAAUGCCUUGUAAACGCGAGUCAUCAGCUCGCAUUGAAUACGUCCCUGCCCUUUGUACACACCGCCCGUCGCUCCUACCGAUGAAUGUUCCGAUGAAAUUUUCGGAGAGCGCCGGAGAACGGGGCUCUGCCCUGCAGAACUGGAGGCUCAAAGUCACUUAAAUCUGAACAUUUCGAGGAAGGAGAAGUCGUAACAAGGUAGCCG